Molecule: long non-coding RNA, 814 nt
Filed under: Ananas comosus (pineapple)
Lineage: Eukaryota; Viridiplantae; Streptophyta; Magnoliopsida; Poales; Bromeliaceae
Description: long non-coding RNA (ACOM_LNC026698)
Source: RNAcentral
GUUUUAAAUAUUUUGGGUCAUUAGGAUUACUGAGUUUAAAACAUCGCAUAAAAGUAAAGAGUGUAGUAGCUUUGUAGGCCCGUUUGGUUCAAGUUAUGUAAUAUUACAGAGUAUUUCAAUAUAUUCAGGUAUAUAUCUUAGAUUUCUAAAUGAGAUUAUUAUUGAUACUGCAUUAAUGCGUUUAGUUUAAUACAGUAAUAUAAUACUGAAUUGUAGUGUUUAUGGUAUAACUAUAUUUGGUUUAGCCUAUAAAAUUUAGUAAUCUAGACAAUAAAAUAUAAUCUAUUUCAAAAUUGCCCUUAGCCAUAUUUGGCAAACAUUUUUUAUACUCUUUACAAAUAAUACUUUUUUUACUAAAUUUUAUUUUAAAUAUUUUUUUAAUUUUAAAUUUCAAAUUUUAAAUUUGAACAAACAUAUAAAAUUUAAUAUUUAAUUUAAAAUAUAAAUAUGAAAUUUAUAAAUUAAAAUUUAAAAAUUAAAAUAAAUUUAAAUUUAAAAUCUAAAUUUAAAAUUUAGAAUUUAAAAUACAAAUUUAAAAUUUAAUAUUUAGAAUUUAAAAUACAAAUUUAAAAUUUAAAAUUUAGAAUUUAAUGUCACGCCUCGGAUUCCUAUGUUCCCCGGGCUGGCCAAUGAAUCUGCCGUAUACAUAGGAAUUUUUUGUGUAUACGACGCGAUAGCUGAACAUGUAAAAGGAUAAGUACAACUACAAGAGAGUAUAGAGCUGCUAAAACUAAAACAUAUAUAAUGAUAAAACCAACAGUACAUACACGUCUCCAAAAUACAUCUCUGUACACAAAAGUAAUUAAACAUGACU